Morus notabilis is the source of this 88-nucleotide non-coding RNA. Lineage: Eukaryota; Viridiplantae; Streptophyta; Magnoliopsida; Rosales; Moraceae. The record is from Rfam.
AGGCCGUGAUGUCUAAAUUUUUAUACCAUCAAACUAUGAAAGCUUCAAUUAAUUUGAGCUUAUUGAUGCUAACAAACACUCUGAGCCC